Molecule: ribosomal RNA, 253 nt
Filed under: uncultured bacterium
Lineage: Bacteria
Description: partial 16S ribosomal RNA
Rfam family: Bacterial small subunit ribosomal RNA
Source: RNAcentral
UACGUAGGGUGCGAGCGUUGUCCGGGAUUAUUGGGCGUAAAGAGCUUGUAGGCGGUUUGUCGCGUCUGCCGUGAAAGCCCAGGGCUUAACCCUGGGUCUGCGGUGGGUACGGGCAGACUAGAGUGUGGUAGGGGAGACUGGAAUUCCUGGUGUAGCGGUGAAAUGCGCAGAUAUCAGGAGGAACACCGAUGGCGAAGGCAGCUCGCUGGGACGGUACUGACGCUGAGACGCGAAAGCGUGGGGAGCAAACAGG